AUUGAACGCUGGCGGCAUGCCUUACACAUGCAAGUCGAACAGCAGCAUGGAGAGCUUGCUCUCUGAUGGCGAGUGGCGAACGGGUGAGUAAUGCAUCGGAACGUACCGUGUAAUGGGGGAUAACGUAGCGAAAGUUACGCUAAUACCGCAUACGACCUGAGGGUGAAAGCAGGGGAUCGCAAGACCUUGCGUUAUACGAGCGGCCGAUGUCAGAUGAGCUAGUUGGUGAGGUAAAGGCUAACCAAGGCGACGGUCUGUAGCGGGUCUGAGAGGAUGAUCCGCCACACUGGGACUGAGACACGGCCCAGACUCCUACGGGAGGCAGCAGUGGGGAAUUUUGGACAAUGGGGGCAACCCUGAUCCAGCCAUGCCGCGUGAGUGAAGAAGGCCUUCGGGUUGUAAAGCUCUUUCGGCCGGGAAGAAAUCGCACAGGCUAAUACUCUGUGUGGAUGACGGUACCGGCAUAAGAAGCACCGGCUAACUACGUGCCAGCCGCCGCAAUAC
This 504-nucleotide ribosomal RNA is filed under the name uncultured bacterium. Its description in RNAcentral is "partial 16S ribosomal RNA". It matches the Rfam family "Bacterial small subunit ribosomal RNA", at positions 30 to 526 of the family's 1533-position model. The record is from RNAcentral.